CAUUUACCAAGAGAAAAUAAAGCGGGAAACUACACAAAGAUACUUCCAAAAAAGAAUGCUAGAUCUGACUAGGUCGAAGUUUUAGACGCCCAAAAUCGAAGACAACUUCAUAUUUCCAGUUUGUCACGCAAAGUUCUUCGUACUUGUACUUCCCUUCUUAGAUUUUCAGUUUUCAAGAUCAUAUUUUUCUAUAGAUUUUUAUUUAUUUUGAUUUUACUUAAAAUUUGUAAAUUGAAUGUUUAUGUUUUAAUGUUGACAAUGUUAACAUCUGUUAAAUUGGGUUAAUCUCCAAUUCUUUAUACAGCUUAGAGAUUUGUUUCGAAGUUCGAGUUUUCUGCGGUGGUGGUGGUUUGUAGUGAUGUUUCGAAGGUAUAAGAGCGGAGUAAGGUUGUUCAGGGUUGCUGGUGCUGCUUGUACGGUCUGGUGGGGAUUCAAAGAUCUGGGUGGCGCUAUGGCAGCGCUUGUUGUUCCGAAGUUUUGGUCUAUAGUCUUUUUGUUGGCCUUCUUUUUGAAUGCUUUAGUUGCUUUUUUAUCUAUUAUACUACCUCCGUUUCUUUUUAA
Long non-coding RNA from Beta vulgaris subsp. vulgaris (sugar beet), 561 nucleotides. RefSeq lists it as uncharacterized. NCBI's taxonomy places the organism in Eukaryota, Viridiplantae, Streptophyta, Magnoliopsida, Caryophyllales, Amaranthaceae. The transcript is spliced from 2 exons. The record is from RefSeq and is a predicted model, not a curated record.